GACGUAGGGCGCGAGCGUUGUCCGGAUUUAUUGGGCGUAAAGAGCUCGUAGGCGGCUUGUCGCGUCGUUCGUGAAAACCCACAGCUCAACUGUGGGCUUGCGGUCGAUACGGGCAUCACUGGAGUUCGGCAGGGGAGACUGGAAUUCCUGGUGUAGCGGUGAAAUGCGCAGAUAUCAGGAGGAACACCGGUGGCGAAGGCGGGUCUCUGGGCCGAUACUGACGCUGAGGAGCGAAAGCGUGGGGAGCGAACAGG
RNAcentral lists this ribosomal RNA (254 nucleotides) under uncultured bacterium. RNAcentral describes it as "partial 16S ribosomal RNA". It matches the Rfam family "Bacterial small subunit ribosomal RNA", at positions 524 to 776 of the family's 1533-position model. The record is from RNAcentral.